GAUGAACGCUGGCGGCGUGCCUAAUACAUGCAAGUCGAGCGAACAGACGAGGAUCUUGCUCCUCUUACGUUAGCGGCGGACGGGUGAGUAACACGUGGAUAACCUACCUAUAAGACUGGGAUAACUUCGGGAAACCGGAGCUAAUACCGGAUAAUAUAUUGAACCGCAUGGUUCAAUAGUGCAAGCCGGUUUUGCUGUCACUUAUAGAUGGAUCCUCGCCGCAUUAGCUAGUUGGUAAGGUAACGGCUUACCAAGGCAACGAUGCGUAGCCGACCUGAGAGGGUGAUCGGCCACACUGGAACUGAGACACGGUCCAGACUCCUACGGGAGGCAGCAGUAGGGAAUAUUCCGCAAUGGGCGAAAGCCUGACGGAGCAACGCCGCGUGAGUGAUGAAGGUCUUCGGAUCGUAAAACUCUGUUAUUAGGGAAGAACAAAUGUGUAAGUAACUAUGCACGUCUUGACGGUACCUAAUCAGAAAGCCACGGCUAACUACGUG
This 497-nucleotide ribosomal RNA is filed under the name uncultured bacterium. RNAcentral describes it as "partial 16S ribosomal RNA". It matches the Rfam family "Bacterial small subunit ribosomal RNA", at positions 28 to 507 of the family's 1533-position model. The record is from RNAcentral.